UCAAGUGACUAAGUGCAUGUGGCGGAUGCCUUGGCGAUCACAGGCGAAGAAAGACGCGGCAGCCUGCGAAAAGCUGCGGGGAGCUGGCAAACGAGCUUUGAUCCGCAGAUAUCUGAAUGGGGGAACCCACACCGCAAGGUGUAUCCGUAGCUGAAUACAUAGGUUACGGAGGCGAACGAGGAGAACUGAAACAUCUAAGUAUCCUCAGGAAAAGAAAUCAACCGAGAUUCCGGCAGUAGCGGCGAGCGAACCCGGAGGAGCCCAGCUUUUGAUAGUACGAACUUUAGCCGAAAGGUCCUGGAAAGGCCUGCUAUAGUGGGUGAUAGCCCCGUAGGCGAAAGAGUUGGUACGGUACUAAGGAAGCGAGAAGUAGAGCGGGACACGUGGAAUCCUGUUCGAAGACGGGGGGACCAUCCUCCAAGGCUAAAUACUCGUGAUCGACCGAUAGUGAACCAGUACCGUGAGGGAAAGGCGAAAAGAACCCCGGGAGGGGAGUGAAAUAGAACCUGAAACCGCAUGCAUACAAACAGUAGGAGCCUCGUCAGAGGUGACUGCGUACCUUUUGCAUAAUGGGUCAGCGACUUACAUUCUGUGGCGAGCUUAACCGAAUAGGGGAGGCGCAGCGAAAGCGAGUUCGAAAUGAGCGUUCAGUCGCAGGGUGUAGACCCGAAACCAGAUGAGCUAUCCAUGGCCAGGUUGAAGGUGUGGUAACACACACUGGAGGACCGAACCGACUAGUGUUGCAAAAUUAGCGGAUGAGCUGUGGAUAGGGGUGAAAGGCCAAACAAAUCUGGAGAUAGCUGGUUCUCCCCGAAAACUAUUGAGGUAGUGCCUCGUGUGUCGCUCCAGGGGGUAGAGCACUGUUUUGGCUAGGGGGACAUGGAGUCUUACCAAACCAAGGCAAACUCCGAAUACCUGGAAGCGUAAGCACGGGAGACAGAGCACCGGGUGCUAACGUCCGGACUCAAAAGGGAAACAACCCAGACCGCCGGCUAAGGUCCCAAAUAACAGCUAAGUGGAAAACGAAGUGGAAAGGCCGUGACAACCAGGAAGUUGGCUUAGAAGCAGCCAUCCUUCAAAGAAAGCGUAAUAGCUCACUGGUCGAGUCCUUCUGCGCGGAAGAUGUAACGGGGCUAAGCUGUUAACCGAAGCCGCGGAUGCACUGGUUAUCCAGUGCGUGGUAGGGGAGCGUUCUGUAAGUCUGCGAAGGCGGUUCGAGAGGACUGCUGGAGAUAUCAGAAGUGCGAAUGCUGACAUGAGUAACGUUAAAGCAGGUGAAAAGCCUGCUCGCCGUAAGCCCAAGGAUUCCUGCUCUACGUUCAUCGGAGCAGGGUGAGUCGGCUCCUAAGGUCAGGCCGAAAGGCGUAGCCGAUGGGAAUCAGGUUAAUAUUCCUGAACCUGCGUCAGAUGCGAUGGGGGGACGGAGCAUGGAAGAUCAUCCGGGUGUUGGAAGUCCCGGUUGUUGAGCGUAGGAGGUCUGCAGGCAAAUCCGCAGACGCAUCUCCAAGGCAAAGACACGUGCCGCCACGGCGGCGAAGUGAUCGGAAGUGCUUCCAAGAAAAGCCUCUAAGCACCAGUCUGAUGCGGACCGUACCGCAAACCGACACUGGUGGGCGAGCUGAAUAUGCUCAGGCGCUUGAGAGAACUCGGGAGAAGGAACUCGGCAAAUUGACACCGUAACUUCGGAAGAAGGUGUGCCGUAGUACCGUGAGAGGAGAGACACCUUGAGCGGGAAACGGUCUCAGAGAAUAGGUGGCUGCGACUGUUUAUUAAAAACACAGCACUCUGCAAAGUCGAAAGACGACGUAUAGGGUGUGAUGCCUGCCCGGUGCUGGAAGAUUAAUUGAUGGGGUGAGAGCCCUUGAUCGAAGUCCCAGUAAACGGCGGCCGUAACUAUAACGGUCCUAAGGUAGCGAAAUUCCUUGUC
Molecule: ribosomal RNA, 1927 nt
Filed under: human gut metagenome
Description: bacterial LSU rRNA
Rfam family: Bacterial large subunit ribosomal RNA
Source: RNAcentral